Molecule: long non-coding RNA, 302 nt
Organism: Mytilus trossulus (common blue mussel)
Lineage: Eukaryota; Metazoa; Mollusca; Bivalvia; Mytilida; Mytilidae
Exons: 3
Source: RefSeq, a predicted model, not a curated record
GUCACCACGAGAUUCAAUACGGCCGUACAAAAUAGGCGGAGAAUGUAUACAAAUGGAAAUAAUUAGAUAAUAGUGUUAAGGAAAUGAAUAUUCAAACAUCAUAGGAAUAGAAGUAUACACACAAUCAUACCGAUACAAACUGUUGUGCAACGAAAGAGUAGCAAAUAUCCGUUUACCAUGCCUCAGAAAUUUAAUGAAAAGAAUGGAUGCUUUGCAAGGUUGCCUGAUUUUGAACUAACCAAGCGUGAAUUCCGUAGAUAGAGACAUAAUACAAUAUUGAUAACGUUUUGUAAAUCAGCUUU